CUCUUAUCAAGAGUGGUGGAGGGAUCGGCCCUUUGAAGCCCGACAACCGGCAUUAUUUAAAUGUAUCGGUGUCAAUUCCUACAGAAUAUAAUUAUUCUGGAAGAUGAGAA
Molecule: non-coding RNA, 110 nt
Filed under: Clostridium pasteurianum
Lineage: Bacteria; Bacillati; Bacillota; Clostridia; Eubacteriales; Clostridiaceae
Also listed under: 1 other name
Description: SAM-I sequence
Rfam family: SAM riboswitch aptamer (S box leader)
About the family: The SAM riboswitch is found upstream of a number of genes which code for proteins involved in methionine or cysteine biosynthesis in Gram-positive bacteria.
Source: RNAcentral